GAAGCCUUAGCUUAAUUAAAGUGUCUGAGUUGCAAUCAGAUGAUGUAGAGUAGUACUCUGUAGGCUUU
RNAcentral lists this transfer RNA (68 nucleotides) under Lygodactylus bradfieldi. Its description in RNAcentral is "tRNA-Ala". It matches the Rfam family "tRNA". Rfam says of the family: Transfer RNA (tRNA) molecules are approximately 80 nucleotides in length. Their secondary structure includes four short double-helical elements and three loops (D, anti-codon, and T loops). The record is from RNAcentral. Lineage: Eukaryota; Metazoa; Chordata; Lepidosauria; Squamata; Gekkonidae.